ACUGGCUCAGUCUCGCAGGAGCCAUUGGACAUUGUCGGUGAUACUGGAAAAACUGGAUAAUGUAUUCUCGCCGGUACUGCUGAUUCAAACCGGAUUCGAUAUUCUGUCCAUCACUUUAAUGAUCGGCGUUUCCAUGAACGGCACACUGGAAAUACCUCUGGGAACGUUUGCUACGAAGAAUGUAGAGGACCUCGCUUUGCUUAUCGUUAGUGCGAUGGCGAAUUUUAUUCUGUUUUUUGUCGCAUUGUUGCUGCGAGUUAUACAAAAAAUCAGGCGCACGCUAUUGUGGGACUUUAUCAUCAGUGCGCAGAAACAUUCCCGGAAGAUAAAGACUUGAUUGGAAGUGUUACAAAUACAACCGUUCAACGUCUUCGUGAUAAUCCUGUCGGCUUUACUGCGUGGAAAUUUCUAGUACUGGAUACGAGUUUCAUUUUAACGGUGUUUGGAGUAUUGUUGACGUAUCUGCUGGUAAUCUACGAAUUAACAACGCGCAGUGAUGCAAAGCAGUGUACCGGACAAGGACUGAUGAGCGCACCCAGCAAGGAUCAGUUGUUGUGUUAUUUUAAUUCUC
Paramacrobiotus metropolitanus is the source of this 571-nucleotide long non-coding RNA. RefSeq lists it as uncharacterized. The transcript is spliced from 3 exons. The record is from RefSeq and is a predicted model, not a curated record. Lineage: Eukaryota; Metazoa; Tardigrada; Eutardigrada; Parachela; Macrobiotidae.